GGGCGCGCGCGCGGCGCGGUGGGCCCCGCAGCCAAUGGGGGCGGGGGGCGGCCCGGUGCGGGGGUAAAAGGGGGCGGGCUCCCAAUCCGGUUCCAUCCGGUUCUCCCACCGCCCCCGCCGUGGGUUCCAGCAGCUCUGGCGGCGGGAGGAACGGCAGCGGUCGAGCUGCGUAUCUCCGCGAGGCUCCCGUGCGCCUCGACCCGCAGCCUCCGCACGCGCCCCGCGCGCCGCCAAGAUGCCCAAGAGGAAGGUCAGCUCGGCCGAAGGGGCGGCGAAGGAGGAGCCCAAGAGGAGAUCGGCGAGAUUGUCGGCUAAACCUGUUCCAGCUAAAGUGGAAACGAAGCCAAAAAAGGCAGCCGGAAAGGAUAAAUCUUCGGACAAAAAAGUGCAAGCAA
Long non-coding RNA from Octodon degus (degu), 395 nucleotides. RefSeq lists it as uncharacterized. The record is from RefSeq and is a predicted model, not a curated record. Lineage: Eukaryota; Metazoa; Chordata; Mammalia; Rodentia; Octodontidae. The transcript is spliced from 5 exons.